Molecule: ribosomal RNA, 492 nt
Filed under: uncultured bacterium
Lineage: Bacteria
Description: partial 16S ribosomal RNA
Rfam family: Bacterial small subunit ribosomal RNA
Source: RNAcentral
AGUGAACGCUGGCGGUAGGCCUAACACAUGCAAGUCGAACGGCAGCACAGUAAGAGCUUGCUCUUACGGGUGGCGAGUGGCGGACGGGUGAGGAAUACAUCGGAAUCUACUUUUUCGUGGGGGAUAACGUAGGGAAACUUACGCUAAUACCGCAUACGACCUACGGGUGAAAGCAGGGGAUCUUCGGACCUUGCGCGAUUGAAUGAGCCGAUGUCGGAUUAGCUAGUUGGCGGGGUAAAGACCCACCAAGGCGACGAUCCGUAGCUGGUCUGAGAGGAUGAUCAGCCACACUGGAACUGAGACACGGUCCAGACUCCUACGGGAGGCAGCAGUGGGGAAUAUUGGACAAUGGGCGCAAGCCUGAUCCAGCCAUACCGCGUGGGUGAAGAAGGCCUUCGGGUUGUAAAGCCCUUUUGUUGGGAAAGAAAGGCAGCAGGUUAAUACCCCGCUGUUCUGACGGUACCCAAAGAAUAAGCACCGGCUAACUUCGUG